RNAcentral lists this transfer RNA (82 nucleotides) under Flavobacteriales bacterium. Its description in RNAcentral is "tRNA-Leu". It matches the Rfam family "tRNA". From Rfam's summary of the family: Transfer RNA (tRNA) molecules are approximately 80 nucleotides in length. Their secondary structure includes four short double-helical elements and three loops (D, anti-codon, and T loops). Further hydrogen bonds mediate the characteristic L-shaped molecular structure. tRNAs have two regions of fundamental functional importance: the anti-codon, which is responsible for specific mRNA codon recognition, and the 3' end, to which the tRNAs corresponding amino acid is attached (by aminoacyl-tRNA synthetases). tRNAs cope with the degeneracy of the genetic code in two manners: having more than one tRNA (with a specific anti-codon) for a particular amino acid; and 'wobble' base-pairing, i.e. permitting non-standard base-pairing at the 3rd anti-codon position. The record is from RNAcentral. RNAcentral also lists the same sequence under 1 other name. Lineage: Bacteria; Pseudomonadati; Bacteroidota; Flavobacteriia; Flavobacteriales.
GCCCAGGUGGCGGAAUUGGUAGACGCGUUGGUCUCAAACACCAAUGGGGUAACCCGUGCCGGUUCGAGCCCGGCCCUGGGUA